Molecule: unclassified non-coding RNA, 314 nt
Filed under: uncultured fungus
Lineage: Eukaryota; Fungi
Description: sequence contains ITS1
Rfam family: 5.8S ribosomal RNA (bases 1-107)
Source: RNAcentral
GAAAUGCGAUAAGUAAUGCGAAUUGCAGAAUUUCUAGUGAGUCAUCGAAUCUUUGAACGCACAUUGCGCCCUUUGGUAUUCCGAAGGGCAUGCCUGUUCGAGCGUCAUUAUCAACCCUCAAGCCUGGCUUGUUGUUGGACCUCAGGUCGCCGCUCCGGUGGACCGGUCUCAAAGACAAUGACGGCGUCCGUGGGACCCUCGGUGCAAUGAGCUUCUUCCAAAGCACGCAUCAGAGUGGGCUCGCGGGGGCCGUCUCCCCGUCAUAUUUUAUCAAGGUUGACCUCGGAUCAGGUAGGAAUACCCGCUGAACUUAA